CAAGACGUAGCUUUAACAAAAGCAUUCAGCUUACACCUGAAAGAUGUCUGUUGAACCAGAUCGUCUUGA
RNAcentral lists this transfer RNA (69 nucleotides) under Melanocharis nigra (Black berrypecker). RNAcentral describes it as "tRNA-Val". The record is from RNAcentral. Lineage: Eukaryota; Metazoa; Chordata; Aves; Passeriformes; Melanocharitidae.